GGCCAGACUCCUACGGGAGGCAGCAGUGGGGAAUAUUGGGCAAUGGGCGCAAGCCUGACCCAGCAAUGCCGCGUGAAGGAAGAAGGCUUUCGGGUUGUAAACUUCUUUGACAGGGGAAGAGCAGAAGACGGUACCCUGAAAACAAGCCACGGCUAACUACGUGCCAGCAGCCGCGGUAAUACGUAGGUGGCAAGCGUUAUCCGGAUUUACUGGGUGUAAAGGGCGUGUAGACGGGACUGCAAGUCAGAUGUGAAAACCACGGGCUCAACCUGUGGCCUGCAUUUGAAACUGUAGUUCUUGAGUACUGGAGAGGCAGACGGAAUUCCUAGUGUAGCGGUGAAGUGCGUAGAUAUUAGGAGGAACACCAGUGGCGAAGGCGGUCCGCUGGACAGCAACUGACGCUGAGGCGCGAAAGCGUGGGGAGCAAACAGGAUUAGAUACCCUAGUA
Molecule: ribosomal RNA, 448 nt
Filed under: uncultured bacterium
Lineage: Bacteria
Description: bacterial SSU rRNA
Rfam family: Bacterial small subunit ribosomal RNA
Source: RNAcentral